GGAAAAAAGACCAGAAAUAUACCAUCCAGGUGCCAGUGGUGAAUUCACAUGCCAGAGAGUAAGAAGUGAUCUUCUUUUAAAUGUGAAGAUGAUUUUGAUCUACAUCAUCAUCGCAACUCCAGCAAUGACCGCUGUGGCACAAGGGUCUUCAGAAUGCAAUGUAACUGAACCUGGACCCCAGACGUGUUUUGGAGUUUUAGGAGAACCACUCGUUUUUUACAUACCUACUAAACCACAUGUGAAGACAAGCUUGAAAAAGAGUACAGAAAAAAUUUUAACCUUAAUAAAUGAUACAUUAAUUAGUCUCAAUGAAAAAUACAAGAAUCGUACUACAGUCUCCACAAAUGGAACAUUGAAGCUCAACAAAGCAACAAAACAUGACUCUGGAGAGUACAGCAUGGAAACACACAGUUCUACUGACGGUGUGUUAUUGCACACAGUUAACAUCCAUCUACAUAUACUUGCUCCUGUGUCAGAACCAGCUGUUACGCAGAUGUGUUUGUCACCAAACCAGAUGACAGUCAGCUGUUUCUCUGAAGGAGAUGAAGUAGAGUUCAUUUUGUCUUUGGAUGAUAAGUUGUUGAUACAGACUACAGCCAACGGUAUAGGAAACUGCAACAUUUCAAAUGUUACCAUUAACUUACCUGGUCAACUGAUGGAAAACCUGACAUGUGUUGCUCAAAACAAUGUCAGCAGAAAACAAAAUAUCACCCACCUUACAAGCUGUACAGCUCCUGUGUCAGAACCAGCUGUUUUGCAGAUGUGUUUGUCACCACAACAGAUGACAGUCAGCUGCUCCUCUGAAGGAGAUGAAGUAGAGUUCACCUUGUUUUUGGAUGAUAACUUGUUGAUAAAAACCCAACCUAGCAUUGCAGAAAACCGCAACAUUUCAAAUGUUUCUAUCAGUUUACAUGGUCAGCUGCUGGGAAAGCUGAUGUGUAUCGUCCAAAACAAUAUAAGCAGAGAACAAACCAUCAUCCACCUUAUAAGCUGCACAGGUAAUAUUUCUGACCACUGCAUUGUGACUGUGGCUGUGGUAGUAAGCGCUGUUGCCAUUCUACUCAUUCUGGCUGUGUUUCUUGGUAUCCGGAAAUUCAAAAACACAACUGGCAUUAUGACUGUUAAUGAAGAUGAAGCUGAAGAGGACGUUGUCUACUCAGAUAUUAGACUGAAGCAGCUUGCAAGAGAAUCAAGAGAAACACCACCUAUUUCAAAUCAAGAUGAAAGUUAACAUUCUCCUAAACAGUCUGACAUUCUGAAACCUAAACCCUAACAUGUUGACUUUCAGUCAACUGUCUAAUAAAACUAUGGCACUUUAGCAAUUCCAUCUUUGCAGUGAACGUGAAGGUAAACAUAUUUAACAAGUACUCACUGGAUUAUUAAUUUUGAAGGAAACAUAAAGGGGGGGAAAGUUAUUUAGAAGGCAUUUGAUAUACAUGAAAUACUUAUUUAUACUUAUUUAUAAAUGCUUUAUAUUUGAACUACAU
Molecule: long non-coding RNA, 1487 nt
Organism: Astatotilapia calliptera (eastern happy)
Lineage: Eukaryota; Metazoa; Chordata; Actinopteri; Cichliformes; Cichlidae
Source: Ensembl